RNAcentral lists this unclassified non-coding RNA (352 nucleotides) under Hevea brasiliensis (rubber tree). Lineage: Eukaryota; Viridiplantae; Streptophyta; Magnoliopsida; Malpighiales; Euphorbiaceae. The record is from RNAcentral.
GGGAGGACGAAAAAAUGGAUAGGUUCGUUGAUAUGGAAGAUGAAGAGAACGUGAUGGAAGAUGAAGAAAAUGUGAUGGAAGAUGAGGAGAAUGAAGAGAACGUAAACAACGUAGAAGCGAUGGACUCCGACGAUGAUGGCCAGGGAGUUGGGUAUGAGCAAGGGGGCUGGGAGUUUGGCUUUGAAGGCACUUCCAACAGAUGGAAUGGUGAUUUAGGGUUGGGUAGCGAUGAGGAUGUGGAUUUAUCUGAGGACUACAAUGGCACUGAAGAAGGGGGAAAUGAUGAUAUAGAGGAGUUAGAUGUUGAUAGCAGCGAAGAGUCGGAUUGUUCACCAAAUAGGAUAGGUGAACA